This 597-nucleotide ribosomal RNA is filed under the name uncultured bacterium. Its description in RNAcentral is "bacterial SSU rRNA". It matches the Rfam family "Bacterial small subunit ribosomal RNA", at positions 202 to 801 of the family's 1533-position model. The record is from RNAcentral.
AAGAUUCAUCGCUGAUAGAUAGGCAUGCGUUCCAUUAGGCAGUUGGCGGGGUAACGGCCCACCAAACCGACGAUGGAUAGGGGUUCUGAGAGGAAGGUCCCCCACAUUGGUACUGAGACACGGACCAAACUCCUACGGGAGGCAGCAGUGAGGAAUAUUGGUCAAUGGGCGUAAGCCUGAACCAGCCAAGUCGCGUGAGGGAUGAAGGUUCUAUGGAUCGUAAACCUCUUUUAUAAGGGAAUAAAGUGCGGGACGUGUCCCGUUUUGUAUGUACCUUAUGAAUAAGGAUCGGCUAACUCCGUGCCAGCAGCCGCGGUAAUACGGAGGAUCCGAGCGUUAUCCGGAUUUAUUGGGUUUAAAGGGUGCGUAGGCGGCCUUUUAAGUCAGCGGUGAAAGUCUGUGGCUCAACCAUAGAAUUGCCGUUGAAACUGGGAGGCUUGAGUAUGUUUGAGGCAGGCGGAAUGCGUGGUGUAGCGGUGAAAUGCUUAGAUAUCACGCAGAACCCCGAUUGCGAAGGCAGCCUGCCAAGCCAUGACUGACGCUGAUGCACGAAAGCGUGGGGAUCAAACAGGAUUAGAUACCCUGGUAGUCCACGCA